CCUACGGGAGGCAGCAGUGGGGAAUAUUGGACAAUGGGCGAAAGCCUGAUCCAGCAAUGCCGCGUGAGUGAUGAAGGCCUUAGGGUUGUAAAGCUCUUUUACCAGGGAUGAUAAUGACAGUACCUGGAGAAUAAGCUCCGGCUAACUCCGUGCCAGCAGCCGCGGUAAUACGGAGGGAGCUAGCGUUGUUCGGAAUUACUGGGCGUAAAGAGUACGUAGGCGGUUAUUCAAGUCAGAGGUGAAAGCCCGGGGCUCAACCCCGGAACUGCCUUUGAAACUAGAUAGCUAGAAUCUUGGAGAGGUCAGUGGAAUUCCGAGUGUAGAGGUGAAAUUCGUAGAUAUUCGGAAGAACACCAGUGGCGAAGGCGACUGACUGGACAAGUAUUGACGCUGAGGUACGAAAGCGUGGGGAGCAAACAGGAUUAGAUACCCUGGUAGUCCACGCCGUAAACGAUGAUAACUAGUUGUUCGGGCACUUGGUGCCUGAGUGACGCAGCUAACGCAUUAAGUUAUCCGCCUGGGGAGUACGGUCGCAAGAUUAAAACUUAAAGGAAUUGACGG
RNAcentral lists this ribosomal RNA (561 nucleotides) under uncultured bacterium. Its description in RNAcentral is "bacterial SSU rRNA". It matches the Rfam family "Bacterial small subunit ribosomal RNA", at positions 338 to 916 of the family's 1533-position model. The record is from RNAcentral.